GAUUCCUACCCGCCUCCUAUACAUGCAGUCGAGCGGACAGAUGGGAGCUUGCUCCCUGAUGUUAGCGGCGGACGGGUGAGUAACACGUGGGUAACCUGCCUGUAAGACUGGGAUAACUCCGGGAAACCGGGGCUAAUACCGGAUGGUUGUUUGAACCGCAUGGUUCAAACAUAAAAGGUGGCUUCGGCUACCACUUACAGAUGGACCCGCGGCGCAUUAGCUAGUUGGUGAGGUAACGGCUCACCAAGGCAACGAUGCGUAGCCGACCUGAGAGGGUGAUCGGCCACACUGGGACUGAGACACGGCCCAGACUCCUACGGGAGGCAGCAGUAGGGAAUCUUCCGCAAUGGACGAAAGUCUGACGGAGCAACGCCGCGUGAGUGAUGAAGGUUUUCGGAUCGUAAAGCUCUGUUGUUAGGGAAGAACAAGUACCGUUCGAAUAGGGCGGUACCUUGACGGUACCUAACCAGAAAGCCACGGCUAACUACGUGCCAGCAGCCGCGGUAAUACGUAGGUGGCAAGCGUUGUCCGGAAUUAUUGGGCGUAAAGGGCUCGCAGGCGGUUUCUUAAGUCUGAUGUGAAAGCCCCCGGCUCAACCGGGGAGGGUCAUUGGAAACUGGGGAACUUGAGUGCAGAAGAGGAGAGUGGAAUUCCACGUGUAGCGGUGAAAUGCGUAGAGAUGUGGAGGAACACCAGUGGCGAAGGCGACUCUCUGGUCUGUAACUGACGCUGAGGAGCGAAAGCGUGGGGAGCGAACAGGAUUAGAUACCCUGGUAGUCCACGCCGUAAACGAUGAGUGCUAAGUGUUAGGGGGUUUCCGCCCCUUAGUGCUGCAGCUAACGCAUUAAGCACUCUGCCUGGGGAGUACGGUCGCAAGACUGAAACUCAAAGGAAUUGACGGGGGCCCCGCACCAAGCGGUGGGAGCAUGUGGUUUAAUUCGAAGCAACGC
Molecule: ribosomal RNA, 950 nt
Filed under: Bacillus sp. BVC34
Lineage: Bacteria; Bacillati; Bacillota; Bacilli; Caryophanales; Bacillaceae
Description: bacterial SSU rRNA
Rfam family: Bacterial small subunit ribosomal RNA
Source: RNAcentral